This 18-nucleotide microRNA is filed under the name Macrophomina phaseolina MS6. RNAcentral's name for it is "miR-1408". The record is from RNAcentral. Lineage: Eukaryota; Fungi; Ascomycota; Dothideomycetes; Botryosphaeriales; Botryosphaeriaceae.
AGGGGAGGGAGGGUGGAG